This 229-nucleotide ribosomal RNA is filed under the name uncultured bacterium. RNAcentral describes it as "partial 16S ribosomal RNA". It matches the Rfam family "Bacterial small subunit ribosomal RNA", at positions 568 to 796 of the family's 1533-position model. The record is from RNAcentral.
UCCGUAGGCGGGCAGCUCAGUCAGUGGUGAAAGUUUGCAGCUCAACUGUAAAAUUGCCAUUGAUACUGGUUGUCUUGAAUUAAUGUGAAGUGGUUAGAAUAUGUAGUGUAGCGGUGAAAUGCAUAGAUAUUACAUAGAAUACCAAUUGCGAAGGCAGAUCACUAAUAAUAUAUCGACGCUGAUGGACGAAAGCGUGGGGAGCGAACAGGAUUAGAUACCCUGGUAGUCC